This 405-nucleotide ribosomal RNA is filed under the name uncultured bacterium. RNAcentral describes it as "bacterial SSU rRNA". It matches the Rfam family "Bacterial small subunit ribosomal RNA", at positions 354 to 776 of the family's 1533-position model. The record is from RNAcentral.
GUGGGGAAUAUUGGACAAUGGGGGAAACCCUGAUCCAGCAAUGCCGCGUGAGUGAAGAAGGCCUUAGGGUUGUAAAACUCUUUCACCCGUGAAGAUGAUGACGGUAGCGGGAAAAGAAGCUCCGGCUAACUCCGUGCCAGCAGCCGCGGUAAGACGGAGGGGGCUAGCGUUGUUCGGAAUUACUGGGCGUAAAGCGCGCGUAGGCGGUCCGUUUAGUUAGGCGUGAAAGGCCUGGGCUCAACCCGGGAACUGCGUUUAAAACUGGCGGGCUAGAGUCCGGGAGAGGGUGGCGGAAUUCCCAGUGUAGAGGUGAAAUUCGUAGAUAUUGGGAAGAACACCAGUGGCGAAGGCGGCCACCUGGUCCGGUACUGACGCUGAGGUGCGAAAGCGUGGGGAGCAAACAGG